AGUGAACGCUGGCGGUAGGCCUAACACAUGCCAGUCGAACGGCAGCACAGUAAGAGCUUGCUCUUAUGGGUGGCGAGUGGCGGACGGGUGAGGAAUACAUCGGAAUCUACUUUUUCGUGGGGGAUAACGUAGGGAAACUUACGCUAAUACCGCAUACGACCUACGGGUGAAAGCAGGGGAUCUUCGGACCUUGCGCGAUUGAAUGAGCCGAUGUCGGAUUAGCUAGUUGGCGGGGUAAAGGCCCACCAAGGCGACGAUCCGUAGCUGGUCUGAGAGGAUGAUCAGCCACACUGGAACUGAGACACGGUCCAGACUCCUACGGGAGGCAGCAGUGGGGAAUAUUGGACAAUGGGCGCAAGCCUGAUCCAGCCAUACCGCGUGGGUGAAGAAGGCCUUCGGGUUGUAAAGCCCUUUUGUUGGGAAAGAAAAGCAGCAGGUUAAUACCCCGCUGUUCUGACGGUACCCAAAGAAUAAGCACCGGCUAACUUCGUG
This 492-nucleotide ribosomal RNA is filed under the name uncultured bacterium. RNAcentral's name for it is "partial 16S ribosomal RNA". It matches the Rfam family "Bacterial small subunit ribosomal RNA", at positions 29 to 507 of the family's 1533-position model. The record is from RNAcentral.